Molecule: long non-coding RNA, 157 nt
Organism: Cucurbita maxima (winter squash)
Lineage: Eukaryota; Viridiplantae; Streptophyta; Magnoliopsida; Cucurbitales; Cucurbitaceae
Exons: 2
Source: RefSeq, a predicted model, not a curated record
CAGAGAAUCGAAACGACGACGUAGAGAUAGAGAAGACCAUUGCAGUAAUAAUUGGACUCAUUGCUGGAAUUGCCUUCAUCGUUGUCUUCCUCGCUUUCCUAAGCCAUUAUUGUGACAAACAAAGAGGUGGCAAAUGAAGUGAACUUUAAAUGGAUGC